AGUGCCAACAUUGCUUUGUCUCUCGCUGGAGAAGCCUGUGAGAAUGACGAUGGCCAAAGUGUCAGGCUCUUGGUGCAGCUGAAAAUCCUUUGAGAUGGAAGAAAUGGCUGGAACAAAGGGGCAGAGGAACAAAAAGCCCUGAACUGCUUCGCCCCUGCCUCGUAGGGUCUUUAUCAUCUUAAACCUUGGGAUUUGGGCUUUGAUCAACUCGGCCUUCCUGGGCCUCGGGGAGAGAGACGGACUGCCUCCGGGUGCUCAUGACCUUUCCAGCAGUAAGCCAAUCAUGUGUGACUCCUGCGUUGCCGUUGCUCGUUUGAGGCUCCCAUGACCAGAUCAUUGAACCGUUCUAGAGACUUCAAAUCCAUUGAGAUGGGAUUAAUGCCUUUGCCUACUCAGGCAGAGGACAGACUGACCAUUCCAAGUGUUCAUCAGCAUUUUCUGCUCUUAGAUGGAAAGGCCAAGGCCACCCCAAGCAUGCUGAAAUUAAUGGGCCAUCAUCAGGAAGGAGUUCACAACUGUAUAUGGAGCCAGAACAAAUGGAGAGACCUCGUUUAGUCGAUUGAUGGUAGCAACAAGG
Molecule: long non-coding RNA, 577 nt
Filed under: Pan troglodytes (chimpanzee)
Lineage: Eukaryota; Metazoa; Chordata; Mammalia; Primates; Hominidae
Description: lincRNA
Source: RNAcentral